Felis catus (domestic cat) is the source of this 3816-nucleotide RNA transcript. It is a transcript of the gene named zinc finger and SCAN domain-containing protein 2-like, with no coding region annotated. The record is from RefSeq and is a predicted model, not a curated record. Lineage: Eukaryota; Metazoa; Chordata; Mammalia; Carnivora; Felidae. The transcript is spliced from 3 exons.
CUUCCUUGCUGCCAGCCGUCCUGGUGGCAUAAACCGGGCCACAGAGUAGGGGGAGGCUUUCGCAACCCCGUCAGCUGGGGCAGCUCUGAUUCCGCCCCUUCGAUGGCUGUCUCCCAGACACCCCGCGCAGAGAGGCUGCGCAGCAGGGGCUCCUGCCUUCACCCCCUGCUCUCUCUUGCAAGGAAAGGCUUAAACCGCCAGCGCCCCAGACCCUUCUGGCUUCCUGGGGGCAGAUCGUGGGCCCGGCCUGGGUAGCGCUGUUUUAGGAUGACGGAGAUGGGGAUGAGGCUCUUGCUGCUGGACUGGGGCCUCGGGGGGAUCCGGCGAUGGGAAUGGCCGAGGCCGGGGGCGGGGGGGGGCCGGGGAAGUUGGGGUGACCCGCCCGGCGGGGCUUCCGGCUCCCGAAGCGGCUCCCGUCGGCUUCCCUCUCCUGCAGGCGCGGGCGCAGCGCUUGCAGCCCUCCUUUUUCCGCCAGCCAGGUCGUUGGCGAGUUAGACCUCCCAGCCUCACGGGGCUGCUGUGCGGCUGCGGCGACGCUGGCGACUGCGGCGCUGCGGCGGAGACGGAGGGCUCGGGAGGCGGCGCCACGGACUGGUGACUGCGGCUGGAAGUGCCCAUGACAGAGCUGGCGUCCUCGGGGGGCGGGUCCCCUGCGGGGGACGGGGAGGAGGGUCUGGGGGACGAGCGAGGCCUGGUCAUCCACCACCCCGCGGAGGAGCAGCCUCACCGCUGCCCACUGUGCGGCCAGACCUUCUCGCAGCAGCCCAGCCUGGUGCGCCACCAGAAGGCACACGCUGGGGUGGGCCGCGCGGCCGCCUUCGUGUGUCCCGAGUGCGGCAAGGCCUUCAGCGUCAAGCACAACCUGGAGGUGCACCAGCGCACGCACACCGGCGAACGGCCCUUCCCCUGCCCGGAGUGUGGCCGCUGCUUCAGCCUCAAGCAGAACCUGCUCACGCACCAGCGCAUCCACAGCGGCGAGAAGCCGCACCAGUGCGCGCAGUGCGGCCGCUGCUUCCGCGAGCCGCGCUUCCUGCUCAACCACCAGCGCACCCACGCGCGCAUGCCCGCACCGCACCCGCGCCGCCCCGGCGUGUUCGGGGAGCGUCGGCCCUACUUCUGUGCCCGAUGCGGCAAGAGCUUCGCGCGCGAGGGCUCGCUCAAGACCCACCAGCGCAGCCACGGCCACGGGCCCGAGGGCCAGGCGGCCCAUUUAGGCCGCGUGCUAUGAUGCGCGCCAGGCCUGCCGCCGCCGGUUUCCUGCCCCAGAGCCGCGUCCGUGACUCCAGGAGAUGGCGCUGGGCUGCGGCCCCCGUUCUGGAUUUGAUCCUGAGAGACGGGGAGGGCUGGCUUGGGGUCUUGAAGGAGUGGGCCGCUGCUCCGCUUGGGCCGCCUCUUUCCGAGUCUUCUCCACCCUACGGCUGGUCGUCCACAGCUGCUUUGGGCCCCUGCAUUGGUUUUCCUCCUCUGGCUCACCCGGCCUAGAGUAGAUGUGGAGUGGGCAGGACCUCUGGGAAGUGUGUGAGGCACAUCUGGGCACAGAGUCUAGGAAUGGGGCCCUCUGGGGCCCUGCCCACCGGCAUGAGGACAUGUCCCCCUAAGAAGACCUACCUCGGGAGGUGCCCUGCAGAGGGGACUGACGCAGCCUGGAAUUGGAGGCCGGUUCUGUGCCCCGGUGGAAAAACUCCCCGAACCAGUUGGGAGUCAUGGCCAGAGAAGAGCUCGUCCUGGCUGCCUGGCCACAGACUUCCACUCUCAUGUGGCAGCAGGAACAGUGCCUGUGUGGAGAGCCAGCUUCUCUGCGCCUGCCUGGCCCAUCAGAGACAGCAAGUAACUGGCCCAAGAGAACACAGCAAAGUCAGCAGGAGGCCUGGCUCUAGAGGCGAAGCCUUUCCCCCAGGUGUGAACCAUACUUGCAAGGCUCCACUUUCCUUUCAGAGCAAUGGUUCUUAAGACUUUGGGGGUGUGAAACCCUUGGGAAAUCUAGCAAACGAUAUGAACCUUCUCCCCAGGAAAACGCGUACUCACGGAGACACGAGAAUCUGCAAACAAUGCCAGAGCUCCUGGACUCCUGGCUGAGAAUCUCAGCCCCAGGACAGAACCUGCCACUCUUUCCUUACCUACGAUAGAUCCCUGGGUCAGGGCCACCCCACAAGUAGCAUUUCUCCCUCCCCCUGCUGAACUUCCUUCCCUCACUCAGGAAUAAAGAAUUCUGAGGAGGGGACCCUUUUAGUCGCUCUCCUCCCAGGCCUCACGGGGCCUCAGGCUCCUGGAACCUCUCUUCCCUUCCACAGACGUUGCUGGAGGCUCUCUGGGCUGGGUUCGCUCUUCUCUGAUUUGGGGUGCUUGCUCUGGCUGCUGGGUUUCACCAUGCCCAGGAUCCCUGGCCCGGGCUCUGUCUGAUCUCACCAUGAAAGUGGCGGGGAAAGCAGGGAGUUCCAUGGUGUAGGGUGUGCGUGACCUUGGGUCCACCCGGGGGGAGGGAUCCUGCUUCCCAGCAGCCAAGCCUCUGCCACACCAGGUGUUUAGCCAGGCCUGAUGUGGGGAAGGCUGAGGGGGCAGACGGAGCUUGGCUCCUGGUGCCCGCCAGCUCUGGGGCCAAGGAGCUUUCCCGAGGUCCGUGCACGGAUGUGGAGGGGCAGAGGCUGGACCACCAGCAGGGAGAGGACUUCUGUUUCCACCCUGAGCGGGUUGGCCUGGAGCUCACUGGCCUCCCCAGAACGAACCACUCAUCUGAAGAGGUGUGGCCGAUUAGGGCUGGGCUGGGGUUUCAAUGACCUCCAGAUGCAGUUCUACUUAGUGAAACCCUUGGGGGUGGGGAGAGGCCUGGAGCCAUGGAUUUAGAUCAAAUCCCAGCAAUGGGAGUUGUGGGGGGCGCUGUGGAGCGUUCUGGUGGGAGGUCCUAGGGCCCAGCUGGGCUUUGGUCAGGGUUGUCUGGAGGCCCCCCUCCCCAGCUCCUGCCCUGGGAUCUUGCCUGUCCCGUCUCCCUUGCAGCCUGCUGCAAAUCUGCCGCACACCUUGUCCUGGAAUAACAAACCGUGCUGGGGGAGAUCAGAGAAACAGGAGGCGUUCUGCACUCCAGAAGCUUCCAUUUGCUCUGAUCCUUGGCCUGCCUGGAGGGAGCCUCAGGGAGGGAGCCUCCCUGCCGAUCGUCAGCUCACCUCCCUCCAGUCUAACCACGCAGCCCUCAUGCGCUGUUGCGGCCUCUGCCUUCCCUGGUAUUGCUGUGAAAUGCGCCCCUCCCCCGUCCUCCCCAAACCCACUUCUCCACCAGGACCUCCAUCCUCUUUCUCUGAACGGUCCCUGUGUUAACUCCGUCUCACCCUCGGGGGCACAUGCCGCCUUGCACUCUGGCUUUCCAUGCGUGCGCACGUGCGUAUGUGUGUGUGUGUGUGUGUGUGUGUGUGUGUGUUGAGUCUCCAGCUAGACUGUGCGCUCCCUGAGGGCAAGGGACGUGCCAUUUCCUCUUGAACCCCAACAGGGUCCAGCACAGGGCUGGGCUCAUAACACUCAGGAAAUACUUGUCUACUGGCUGAUGGGUCAAGUGCUGGAGGCUGGAGGGUGGCUGGUGGUGGGAGGUGGCGGGUGAGUUCACACGUGGGUUGUGGGUUCGUUUCACUGAGCUGUGAGCUGGCUCCCCUGGGGCACUAAUGACUGUAGGAGACCUCAGGUCCUCCCCUACUUGGGCCAGUGGGACAGGAGGGACGCCCCCAUGGCUACGCGGGAUUGCGUGUCAAUGGUCGUCCAGGCUGGAUAUUUCUGUCGGUCACCGAUACCUGCCGGAGCUGACCAAGUGGAAUAAAUGUUCUCUCGACAUCA